This 255-nucleotide ribosomal RNA is filed under the name uncultured bacterium. Its description in RNAcentral is "partial 16S ribosomal RNA". It matches the Rfam family "Bacterial small subunit ribosomal RNA", at positions 524 to 776 of the family's 1533-position model. The record is from RNAcentral.
UACGUAGGGUGCAAGCGUUUAAUCGGAAUUACUGGGCGUAAAGCGUGCGCAGGCGGUUAUAUAAGACAGUUGUGAAAUCCCCGGGCUCAACCUGGGAAUUGCAUCUGUGACUGUAUAGCUAGAGUACGGUAGAGGGGGAUGGAAUUCCGCGUGUAGCAGUGAAAUGCGUAGAUAUGCGGAGGAACACCGAUGGCGAAGGCAAUCCCCUGGACCUGUACUGACGCUCAUGCACAAAAAGCGUGGGGAGCAAACAGG